GAUGAACGCUGGCGGCGUGCCUAAUACAUGCAAGUCGAGCGAACAGACGAGGAGCUUGCUCCUCUGACGUUAGCGGCGGACGGGUGAGUAACACGUGGAUAACCUACCUAUAAGACUGGGAUAACUUCGGGAAACCGGAGCUAAUACCGGAUAAUAUAUUGAACCGCAUGGUUCAAUAGUGAAAGACGGUUUUGCUGUCACUUAUAGAUGGAUCCGCGCCGCAUUAGCUAGUUGGUAAGGUAACGGCUUACCAAGGCAACGAUGCGUAGCCGACCUGAGAGGGUGGACGGCCCACACGGAACUGGAGCCCCGUCCAGACUCCUACGGGAGGCAGCAGUAGGGAAUCUUCCGCAAUGGGCGAAAGCCUGACGGAGCAACGCCGCGUGAGUGAUGAAGGUCUUCGGAUCGUAAAACUCUGUUAUUAGGGAAGAACAAAUGUGUAAGUAACUAUGCACGUCUUGACGGUACCUAAUCAGAAAGCCACGGCUAACUACGUG
Molecule: ribosomal RNA, 497 nt
Filed under: uncultured bacterium
Lineage: Bacteria
Description: partial 16S ribosomal RNA
Rfam family: Bacterial small subunit ribosomal RNA
Source: RNAcentral